This 427-nucleotide ribosomal RNA is filed under the name uncultured bacterium. Its description in RNAcentral is "partial 16S ribosomal RNA". It matches the Rfam family "Bacterial small subunit ribosomal RNA", at positions 355 to 774 of the family's 1533-position model. The record is from RNAcentral.
UGGGGAAUAUUGCACAAUGGGCGCAAGCCUGAUGCAGCCAUGCCGCGUGUGUGAAGAAGGCCUUCGGGUUGUAAAGCACUUUCAGCGAGGAGGAAGGGUAGUGUGUUAAUAGCACAUUGCAUUGACGUUACUCGCAGAAGAAGCACCGGCUAACUCCGUGCCAGCAGCCGCGGUAAUACGGAGGAUGCAAGCGUUAAUCGGAAUUACUGGGCGUAAAGCGCACGCAGGCGGUUUGUUAAGUCAGAUGUGAAAUCCCCGCGCUUAACGUGGGAACUGCAUUUGAAACUGGCAAGCUAGAGUCUUGUAGAGGGGGGUAGAAUUCCAGGUGUAGCGGUGAAAUGCGUAGAGAUCUGGAGGAAUACCGGUGGCGAAGGCGGCCCCCUGGACAAAGACUGACGCUCAGGUGCGAAAGCGUGGGGAGCAAACA